RNAcentral lists this ribosomal RNA (239 nucleotides) under uncultured bacterium. RNAcentral's name for it is "partial 16S ribosomal RNA". It matches the Rfam family "Bacterial small subunit ribosomal RNA", at positions 104 to 334 of the family's 1533-position model. The record is from RNAcentral.
UAGGCGGACCGGGGUGGAGUAAUGCUGGGAAACUGCCUGAUGGAGGGGGAUAACUACUGGAACGGUAGCUAAUACCGCAUAACGUCGCAAGUACCAAAGAGGGGGAACCUUCGGGCCUCUUGCCAUCGGAUGUGCCCAGAUGGGAUUAGCUAGUAGGUGGGGUAACGGCUCACCUAGGCGACGAUCCCUAGCUGGUCUGAGAGGAUGACCAGCCACACUGGAACUGAGACACGGUCCAG